UGGCGAACGGGUGAGUAACGUGUAGGUAAUUUGCCUACGAGUGGGGAAUAGGUCCGGGAAACCGGAAUUAAUACCGCAUAACGUCAUGCUCCGAUGGGAGUGUGAUCAAAGGUGGGGACCUUCGGGCCCAUCGCUUGUAGAUAAGCCUGCAUCUGAUUAGUUAGUUGGUAGGGGUAAACGGGCCUACCAAGAACCGCGAUCAGUAAGCUGUCCUAAGAGGAAGAUCAGCCACAUUGGGACUGAGAUACGGCCCAGACUCCUACGGGAGGCAGCAGUGAGGAAUUUUGCGCAAUGGGAGAGAUCCUGACGCAGCAACGCCGCGUGACCGAUUGAAGCUUUUAGGAGUGUAAAGGUCUGUCGUGAGGGAAGAAAAAGACCGAGGAUAAUAAGUUCGGUAAUUGACGGUACCUCACAAGCAAGCUCCGGCUAACUUCGUGCCAGCAGCCGCGGUAAUACGAGGGGAGCAAGCGUUGUCCGAAAUAACUGGGCGUAAAGGGUACGUAGGCUAUUUUGUAUGUUUCCGGUGAAAUUCACAGGCUCAACUUGUGACUUGCCGGAAAAACUGCAGAGAUUGAAUCCGGAAGGGGAAAGCGGAAUUCCUGGUGUAGCGGUGAAAAUGCGUAGAUAUCAGGAGGAACACCAGUGGCGAAGGCGGCUUUCUGGUCCGGAAUUGACGCUGAGGUACUAAAGCGUGGGUAGCAAACAGGAUUAGAUACCCUGGUAGUCCACGCCCUAAACGAUGGAUACUUGAUGUCGGGAUGUUCGGUCGUCUCGGUGUCGUAGCUAACGUGUUAAGUAUCCCGCCUGGGGACUACGGUCGCAAGACUGAAACUCAAAGGAAUUGUCGGGGGCCCGCACCAGCGGUGGAACAUGUGGUUUAAUUCGAUGCAACGCGAAGAACCUUACCUGGGCUUGACAUAUAUAUGAAGUAUGUAAGAAAUUAUGUAUUCUGUCUGAUUUUUCAGACAGCAUAUAUACAGGUGAUGCAUGGCUGUCGUCAGCUCGUGUCGUGAGAUGUAGGGUUAAGUCCCUUAACGAGCGCAACCCUUGCUUUUAGUUGCCAUCAGGUAAUGCUGGGGACUCUAGAAGGACUGCCGAGGUUAACUCGGAGGAAGGUGGGGAUGACGUCAAGUCAGUAUGUCCCUUAUGUCCAGGGCUACACACGUGUUACAAUGGACGGUACAGAGUGCAGCUACGCCGUGAGGCUACGCAAAUCACUUAAAGCCGUUCCCAGUUCGGAUUGGAGUCUGCAAUUCGACUCCAUGAAGUUGGAAUCGCUAGUAAUCGCAGAACAGCAUGCUGCGGUGAAUACGUUCCCGGGCCUUGUACACACCGCCCGUCACGCCAUGGAAGUUGGGAGUACCCAAAGU
Molecule: ribosomal RNA, 1370 nt
Filed under: uncultured organism
Description: 16S ribosomal RNA
Rfam family: Bacterial small subunit ribosomal RNA
Source: RNAcentral